This 405-nucleotide ribosomal RNA is filed under the name uncultured bacterium. RNAcentral describes it as "partial 16S ribosomal RNA". It matches the Rfam family "Bacterial small subunit ribosomal RNA", at positions 28 to 526 of the family's 1533-position model. The record is from RNAcentral.
GAUGAACGCUGGCGGCGUGCCUAAUACAUGCAAGUCGAGCGAAGCGGGGACGGGUGAGUAACACGUGGAUAACCUCCUAUAAGACUGGGAUAACUUCGGGAAACCGGAGCUAAACCGGAUACCUAUUGCUGGAUCCGUGCCGCAUUAGCUAGUUGGUAAGGUAACGGCUUACCAAGGCGACGAUGCGUAGCCGACCUGAGGGGAUGAUCGGCCACACGGGAACUGAGACACGGUCCAGACUCCUACGGUAGGCAGCAGUAGGGAAUCUUCCGCAAUGGGCGAAAGCCUGACAGAGCAACGGCGCGUGAGUGAUGAAGGUCUUCGGAGCGUAAAACUCUGUUAUUAGGGAAGCGGUAGCUAAAGAGAAAGCCACGGCUAACUACGUGCCAGCAGCCGCGGUAAUAG